UUUUCCUUGGCCAACCAGUCUUAUUUCAACGACCUUUAUUUCAGGUUCACUGUCAUCCCACUCCUCACUGAUGGUCCCCGAACUGUAAGUGAAGGCUCUCACUCCUGUCAUCUGGUUAAUGUGGACCCGAUCAGGCUUCUCUUGCUUGUGUAGUUGCUUCUGCCACCUGGUUUCAUUUCCAGCACAUGAUUCCUGUUUAUGUGGGUGCUGGGGAGUGGGAAAAGGGACCCCGCUGGACAAACCAUUCUGCUGUUAAAGACCUUGGCUGAAACAUGGGAGAGAACCACAAAAUAGGAUAAAUGGUUCAGAUAUCAUAUGCCCUUGGACCACGGAUUAUUGAAGUUGCAGAAAGUGAAAAUAUGAAUAAGGGAGGACACUACUGUAUUGCUCAUUUCUCAGUCUGCACUGAAUAACCUAGAAGAAUAGUGAACUCGAUGGCCGAGAAGAAGUGAAGCAGAGAUGGGUAACAAUUUAUGAAGAAAAUCCUAAAAGCAAUUCUCACACUGAGGGGAAACUUGAAACAGAUUUCCAAAGUGCUACCUAUCUUGAAAAAGCCUACGGCUACCUGUUAAUUGUAGGUAAGAAUAUUAAGACAAGAAUACAACCUGUUACUUUAAGAGCAGUGGGUAAGGCUGGGGGUGGGAGUGGUGUACACUUCUAAUCACAGUUCUCCAGGCUGUGGCAGAAACAUUAUGUGAUGGAGGUGAGCUUGGCUACAUAGCAAGUUCCAGGACAGCCUGGACUUUAUAGCAGUGGGUGAGCUCAAGAAGCAGAAUUAAACUUCACAUAAAAUUUAGAAGACUCUGAGAUGAUUGUGGAAAUGAUGGGUGCACCAAUCUCAGAGUUUCUAGUUUUUUCUCACUGUUUUAAGUGACAGCCAAUUCUUACAGUCCUCUUCCCCUAAUGUUCUGUGUACUCCUUGUACAGAGAAUGCUGAAACCUCUGCAGUAUGCAAUGCUGUUUUGAGAGAAGGACAGAUUUUUCUUUUUUUUAAAGGCAAUACUAACAUUUGAACCCAGGGCCUCAUGCUUACUAGAUAGGUGCUCGUCUACUUGAAUCACAACCCCAGCACUUUUUUGUUGUAGUUAUUUUCCUGGUUGGGUCUUGCGUUUUUGCUCAGGGUUUGCCGUGGACUGCAAUCCUUUUAGUUAUGUUUCCUAUGUAGUUGGAACUAUAGCUGUGAGCCACCAUGCCAGGAAUGUUUGCUGAGAUAGAGUCUUGUUGACUUUUUGUCUGGGCUUGUCUCAAACCACAAUUCUCCUAAUCUCCGUAUCCCAAAAAACUUGGAUUGCAAGCAUGAGCCAUCACACCAACCCAGGAGCAUAGAAUUUUACUCUCAUAUAACAAGUUAAUGAGAUUUUUGUUGUUGCUGUUUCUUCUUUUGGCAUUACUGGAGAGUGAACCCAGGGUCUCACACAAGCUAGCCUAGAGCACUGCUCUACACUGAGAUAUAUCCUCAGCCCUACUGCCUUUUGAGACAGGGGGGUCAUGAACUCCUGGGCUCAAGUGAUCCUCCCACCUCAACCUCCUAAAUUGCUGGAGCUAUAGGUGUACACUACUGUGCAUGGCUAUUUUACUCCAUACUGGCCUGAUUUAGUGGUUCUAUCCUGAACCACUAAAUGUUUAUAGCAUUUCCACAGGCUUACAGGGGAAAUGCUAUAAACUGGCCUGGUUACUUCCCCCAGGCCCACUCAAAGUUCUGAAUCAGAUUGGAUUAAGCAUGUGUUUACCUGUGUUUUAGAUUUAUGAGACAUGCACAAACAUGUUUAUCAUAAAUAGGCUAUGACAGUCAUCACCUUGAAAAUUUAUGCCACUCAGAACAUUAUGAAACAGGAAUGACAUAGAAGAACACCAAUUACAAUGUAGUUUUGAGGCAUCAGGAAAGAUAAGCCUUAAGUUAUAUACACAUCCUGCAAACUCAGUUUGCAGCCUCAAAUCUUGAACAUUCCAUGUUCAAGGAUGCAAUCAAUCAGUUUAUACAUACCAAGAGUCUACCAUGGACAAGAACUCAUGUUGAAGUUCAAUAAAAGACAAAUAUGCAUUAUGGCCUCCUUAAGUUAUAACUAUAGCUAAUCAAUGGCAUGGUCAGGUUAUAAGACUAAAAUAACAAGCAGUGGCUUUUACAUAAUUUUUUUUUGGUGGUACUAGAGUUUGAACCGAGGGCUUCACGCUUACUUGUAAGCAAAUGCUCUGCUGCUUGAGCCACACUUCCAGCCCUUUAUGCUCUGGUUAUUUUGGAGUGUUGCUUUUUGUCCAGGCUAGCCUGAACUGUUAUGCUUCCCACCAUAGAUGGAAUGACAGGCAUGCACUAACAUACCCAGUUAUAUAAUUCUUACAAAAUCUAUAUGUUAGGCAAUAAAAUUAAAACUCCUUCAAUAGUGUCUUCAAUAGUGGUAUGUGAAAAUAAAAACCACGUCAGUCAUUAACAUAAAACUAUCACAUCAAAGGAAGCAUAAAGUAGAGGAAAUUUUACUAAUGUCAAGUGAUGACACUAGCUCUGAAGGAUUUCAUCUUCUGAGAGAGGUUAACUACAGGAGCAGCCUAUUUAGGACUGGCAACAUUUGCUUGGUCAAAAUGUUUUUCUACAAGUUAGUAAGAUGUAUUAGAAAUUUAAGCUUUCAGGUAAAAAUGGUUGCUUUUUAA
Molecule: non-coding RNA, 2643 nt
Organism: Castor canadensis (American beaver)
Lineage: Eukaryota; Metazoa; Chordata; Mammalia; Rodentia; Castoridae
Source: RefSeq, a predicted model, not a curated record